AUGUCUUGUUUCAAAUUGCCAAGAGGAUUGUGUGAGCACAUUAAUGGUCUACUCAGGAAGUUCUGGUGGCGUAGCAAACGAGGAGAGAGGAAAAUGGCUUGGGUGUCCUGGAAUACUAUGUGCAAACCCAAGUUUAUGGGAGGGAUGGGUUUCAGAGAUAUUGAACUCUUUAACCUAGCUUUGCUAGCCCGACAAGCUUGGCACCUUCUACAGGACCCUGAUUCUCUAAGCGCAAGGGUGCUCAAGUCACGGUACUAUCCACAAUGCAACAUCCUUGAGGCUUCACUGGGUAAUCAUCCUUCUCAGUGGCACUCUAUUAUGGAGGGUAAGGAGAUCCUAGCACUCGGAAUCAUCAAAAGAGUGGGAACAGGUGAGGACACGGGCAUCUGGAGCGAGAACUGGAUACCACGUGAUUAUAAAUUACGGCCAUUGUGUGCUAUGGGGGCUGAUCCACCACAAUAG
RNAcentral lists this ribosomal RNA (462 nucleotides) under Triticum aestivum (bread wheat). Its description in RNAcentral is "partial small subunit ribosomal RNA". The record is from RNAcentral. Lineage: Eukaryota; Viridiplantae; Streptophyta; Magnoliopsida; Poales; Poaceae.